Molecule: non-coding RNA, 43 nt
Filed under: Trypanosoma brucei brucei
Lineage: Eukaryota; Euglenozoa; Kinetoplastea; Trypanosomatida; Trypanosomatidae
Source: RNAcentral
AAUACGUGUAUGAUAUUUCGCACUGUGUAGAUUGAUGAAAUUU